Molecule: ribosomal RNA, 403 nt
Filed under: uncultured Gammaproteobacteria bacterium
Lineage: Bacteria; Pseudomonadati; Pseudomonadota; Gammaproteobacteria
Description: bacterial SSU rRNA
Rfam family: Bacterial small subunit ribosomal RNA
Source: RNAcentral
AUUGAACGCUGGCGGCAGGCCUAACACAUGCAAGUCGAGCGUGAAAGCCCUUCGGGGUGAGUAGAGCGGCGGACGGGUGAGUAACGCGUAGGAAUCUACCCAGUAGUGGGGGACAACAGUCGGAAACGACUGCUAAUACCGCAUACGCCCUAUGGGGGAAAGCGGGGGAUCUUCGGACCUCGCGCUAUUGGAUGAGCCUGCGUUAGAUUAGCUAGUUGGUGGGGUAAAGGCCUACCAAGGCGACGAUCUAUAGCUGGUCUGAGAGGAUGAUCAGUCACACUGGAACUGAGACACGGUCCAGACUCCUACGGGAGGCAGCAGUGGGGAAUAUUGCACAAUGGGCGCAAGCCUGAUGCAGCCAUGCCGCGUGUGUGAAGAAGGCUCUAGGGUUGUAAAGCACUUU